UUGCCCAUUUGAGGGGGAUACCAGUUGGAAACGACUGUUAAUACCGCAUAAUAUCUGUGGAUUAAAGGUGGCUUUCGGGCUGUCGCAGAUGGAUGAGCCUGCGUUGGAUUAGCUAGUUGGUGGGGUAAGGGCCCACCAAGGCUACGAUCCAUAGCUGAUUUGAGAGGAUGAUCAGCCACAUUGGGACUGAGACACGGCCCAAACUCCUACGGGAGGCAGCAGUGGGGAAUAUUGGACAAUGGGGGCAACCCUGAUCCAGCAAUGCCAUGUGUGUGAAGAAGGCCCUAGGGUUGUAAAGCACUUUAGUUGGGGAGGAAAGCCUCAAGGUUAAUAGCCUUGGGGAGGACGUUACCCAAAGAAUAAGCACCGGCUAACUCCGUGCCAGCAGCCGCGGUAAUACGGGGGGUGCAAGCGUUAAUCGGAAUUACUGGGCGUAAAGGGUCUGUAGGUGGUUUGUUAAGUCAGAUGUGAAAGCCCAGGGCUCAACCUUGGAACUGCAUUUGAUACUGGCAAACUAGAGUACGGUAGAGGAAUGGGGAAUUUCUGGUGUAGCGGUGAAAUGCGUAGAGAUCAGAAGGAACACCAAUGGCGAAGGCAACAUUCUGGACCGAUACUGACACUGAGGGACGAAAGCGUGGGGAUCAAACAGGAUUAGAUACCCUGGUAGUCCACGCUAUAAACGAUGAGUACUAGCUGUUGGAGUCGGUGUAAAGGCUCUAGUGGCGCAGCUAACGCGAUAAGUACUCCGCCUGGGGACUACGGCCGCAAGGCUAAAACUCAAAGGAAUUGACGGGGACCCGCACAAGCGGUGGAGCAUGUGGUUUAAUUCGAUGCAACGCGAAGAACCUUACCUGGUCUUGACAUCCUGCGAACUUUCUAGAGAUAGAUUGGUGCCUUCGGGAACGCAGUGACAGGUGCUGCACGGCUGUCGUCAGCUCGUGUUGUGAAAUGUUGGGUUAAGUCCCGCAACGAGCGCAACCCCUAUUGAUAGUUACCAUCAUUAAGUUGGGUACUCUAUUGAGACUGCCGCUGACAAGGCGGAGGAAGGUGGGGACGACGUCAAGUCAUCAUGGCCCUUACGACCAGGGCUACACACGUGCUACAAUGGGUAUUACAGAGGGCUGCGAAGGUGCGAGCUGGAGCGAAACUCAAA
RNAcentral lists this ribosomal RNA (1153 nucleotides) under uncultured Francisella sp. RNAcentral describes it as "bacterial SSU rRNA". It matches the Rfam family "Bacterial small subunit ribosomal RNA", at positions 126 to 1278 of the family's 1533-position model. The record is from RNAcentral. Lineage: Bacteria; Pseudomonadati; Pseudomonadota; Gammaproteobacteria; Thiotrichales; Francisellaceae.